GAUCAGCUGAGGUUCUGCUGACCCCCUGGAUCAUGGUAAGCUGGCACGUUUCUCCUGGUUUACACACUUGUGGUCAGAAAGGCUUUGUGUUUGAGUGAGAAUCCGUCUGAACAGGUCUGUACUUGAGCGUUAACGGUGUGGGUGUGACGCUCAGGUAAAUAAUUAGUGCACACCGUCGAGCUUUCUCUUUCUUUACACGAGAACUCCAGCAUCAGAUCCAUCUGAUAUGAUUCAUCUCCAGAUACUCUCUACUCUGAAGACCGGCUGCUGAGAGUCCACAGGAGCGCAGCCCAGGGGUGUUGAGUCGCAUCGGGAGCUGGCUGUCGUGGGGUUGGGGCAGAGAUGAUCCCACCUCCCAAACACAGCAAGAGGAGGACCACGGAGAAACCAGAGCAGACGAGACAGAUCCCACAGAGGCGAGCCCAACCCUCGACCGGAAUGCCAAACAUCUGAGACUCGAACGCAGUCGGUCGAUUGAGAGGAAAAGGCCACCUGAACACUUUGAACAAAUGGGCCGGAGGAGAUCUGGCAGGAGGAGGCGGAGCUCUCACGGGGAUGGGGGCGGAGCCAAAUCCCCAACCAAUCCCCAACCUGUAAGCCCUGAAGCAACCAGUUUGACAAGCGGCCCGCGGAAAGCAUGCACUGACUCAGCUUUUGAGGAGAUGGCAAACAGCCUUCCAGGAGCCUCUGGAGCAGAAGCGCCAGACUCAGGUAACCGUGAGGAUGUCUUCCAAGCAGAAUGGGCCCAAGCACACCUGAGCGAAGACGCAGAUUCGGAUUCGCUCGUCCAAGCGGCGCUGGUUUAUACAGAUAUGGACGAGGAUCGAGUGGUGAGGCUGACGGAGAGCGCCGAAUCCAAACGCAGGAGCAUCAAAGUGUCUCACAGCGAGGUGGUCUUCGCCAAAAAGGUGGUGGUCGCCUCGGAGGAGCAAAAGGAAGAUCAAAAUGUGACUUUUAAAGACCCCAAACGGCCGAGAUUUGAUGAAAGAGCCAGAUUUCCAGAGGACAGAGUGGAUGGCACCAAUGUGAAAUCCAAGGGCCGAAUCGCAGACAAGAUCAGUCUGUUUGAGAGAGGAGCCACCAAUGCAGUUGGCAGCUCCACAAACCUGCGUCACCUGGAUAUUUCUCCAGCUCGAAAUGUGGCCAGUCGUCUUUUCACAGAACGUGCCGGAACGCGGUCCAGUUCCGCACCUCCAAACCAAUCAGUUAAAGAGAGGGUGAUGAAUUUUAAUGCAGGACGGAGGGGAGAAGAGAAGCUGACGUUGCCGUCUGGUCGUACGCUGAACGAAGGACGUUCAAAAAUAGCUGAAAUAUCUUGUUCCGGACGUUUUGAAAAAUCAACAGCAAAGACAGAUACCAGCGGAGAGCCAAAGGUUAAAUGCAAGCCUCAUUUAAACAUCGAUCAAACUGACUCCAAAUCCCACAAUGCAACACAAAGCACACCUGUAUUGUCAGAGAGCACAAGUGACUCAAACAUUGGGAAUAAAGAGCUGGAUUCUUUGCCAAUGGUUUCAUCACCUACUGAUGAGACACCGCAGGUGAAAUCGCCAAACCGGACCAGCUCGCGAUCUAAAAAGCGUCGAGGCAAAGAUCCGCUGAGCCCCACCAAACAAGAAAUGGGUCAGGGUAAACAGGAGGUCAAGGACAAACCUCUUGUAGAUAUUGUAAAGACCACAGAGCAGUAUUCUGAUAAAGAAAGACCCAACUCUGCUUGGGAGGUCGUAAGCAAAACACCUAAAGUCCCUCCAAGGUUGGAGAAAGCAGCAGAAAUUAUGCAAAGCACAAAGAAAAAAUCUGACUCUCCACAUGCGGACACAAAAUUUCCUAAAGAAAUGAAAAGAAAGGAUGAGAAGCAUGGCUCAAAAGAAGAUAAGAUAGAACGGACAGAGAUUGACUCAAAAACGGAAGAGAAAACGAGAAACAUCAACAAAAAGCAGCCUGUUCAUGAGCGCUCAGAAGGACAGGGGCAAGGGAACAGAGAUGUGAUUGUAAACACAUUGUUUGGAGAGUCAGGGAAACCAGAUCCAUCUGUGACAAAAGAAGAGAAACCACCGUCCCCAGAGGACCUGAAUGAGGCCAACUCUAAAGACUGCUUUGAGCCAGCCAAUAACAGCGCUGCAGAUUCCAGGAAAGAUGCCAUGCGAAACAGAGGGAGUGAGACGGAUACGCUGGUCUUACCUGAGAAAAAAGCAGAAAACACCACUGAAAGUGACCUGAAAUCGGCACAAAGACCAUCAGAGACAAACCAAAAGAGUCGAGAAAAAGACAGUUUGGCUGAGACUACCAAUCAGAAUGAGAAAAAUGACCUUGUUACAGAAACAACUGAGACACACAAACAUAGUACUGAAGUCAGUACAGCAAAGCCAACCAAGCAGAAUGUAGAAGAAGGAAUUACAACAAAGACGACUAAACAUGGUAAAUCAAAUGACACCUCAGUUGUGAGACAAGACACAACAAUUAUGCCAAGCAGUGAGGGUAAAGAGACUCAGACUCCAGAGAUAAUCUCUGAAUUGUCUGAUCAGACUAAAGAAAACGCCACUACUACAAGUAGGACACCGGCAACACCAAACCCUGCACUGGUCAAAGACCAAAAUAACCAUGUGGACACCAUAAUUUUACCUCAAAUUCCACCUACAGAGGGAGGCGGUCGCAAAAGAGAUGGGCCACCCCUACAAAACCAAUCAGAGAGCGGAGAAGAACAGAAAACACUGGCAGUGUCUAAUAAAAGGGAUUUACAACAGCCCAGCACUGAAAUUAAAAAGGGAGGCACCAAAAAACCACAGAGUAAAAUCACCAGCACAGAAAUGACAUCCAUAACAAAUGGAGAUAUACACUCUGUACAGGCGGAAUAUCAGGUUUCUGAUUCUCUUAAACAGUCUGGAGAAAAUACACUUGGCUCUAGCCUUGAAAAUACCUUACCUGAAAUACCAUCCAAUAAUGACAAUCUACCUCUGAGUUCAGCAAAAAAGAAGCCCACUUCCUUGUCAUCCAAAGUCAUUGAAGCAUCCACCGAGCAAUCUGGCCAGGUCACUGCUGAACCAGCCUUAAAAGAUGAUACAGCUUUCAGUGAUAAGAACACAACCUUGUCAAACUCAGCUAAUAAAAAAACAAAUAAUGAAAAGACCACUCCUCCACCAGCCUCUACCAAUGUAAUAAACACUCCUGAAAAACCAACAACUAUUGAAAAAACCACAUCUCCACAAGCCCCAACCAAUGAGAAAACCUCCACUUUACCUGCCUCAACUAAAGAAAAGACUACAGGUCUAUCAGCAUCAACCACUGACACAAUAUCUGCUACAUCAGGCUCCAAUGAUGACAAAAACAAACCUCCACCAGCCUCAACUGAUGAGACAAUCUCUGCUUUGCCUGCCCCAACUACUGAAAAGACCACGCCUCCGGGAGCAUCUGCUAACGAACAGACCACGCCUCCAACAGCAUCAGUUAAUGAAAAGACCACACCUCCAACAGCAUCAGUUAAUGAAAAGACCACACCUCCAACAGCAUCAGCUAAUGAAAAGACCACGCCUCCAACAGCAUCAGCUAAUGAAAAGACUACGCCUCCAACAGCAUCAGCUAAUGAAAACACUACGCCUCCAAGAGCAUCAGCUAAUGAAAACACUACGCCUCCAAAAACAUCAGUCACUGAAAAGACCACGCCUCCAAAAACAUCAGUCAUUGAAAAGACCACGCCUCCAAAAACAUCAGUCAUUGACAAGACCACGCCUCCAAAAACAUCAGUCAUUGACAAGACCACGCCUCCAAAAACAUC
Long non-coding RNA from Sinocyclocheilus grahami, 3769 nucleotides. Lineage: Eukaryota; Metazoa; Chordata; Actinopteri; Cypriniformes; Cyprinidae. The record is from Ensembl.